This 66-nucleotide transfer RNA is filed under the name Chamaeleo zeylanicus (Indian chameleon). RNAcentral's name for it is "tRNA-Thr". It matches the Rfam family "tRNA". From Rfam's summary of the family: Transfer RNA (tRNA) molecules are approximately 80 nucleotides in length. Their secondary structure includes four short double-helical elements and three loops (D, anti-codon, and T loops). Lineage: Eukaryota; Metazoa; Chordata; Lepidosauria; Squamata; Chamaeleonidae. The record is from RNAcentral.
GUCCCAGUAGCUAACACUUAAAAGCGUUGGCCUUGUAAACCAAAGACGGGCUAAGCCCCUGGGUCA